RNAcentral lists this ribosomal RNA (443 nucleotides) under uncultured bacterium. Its description in RNAcentral is "SSU rRNA". It matches the Rfam family "Bacterial small subunit ribosomal RNA", at positions 26 to 518 of the family's 1533-position model. The record is from RNAcentral.
AGAACGAACGCUGGCGGCAGGCUUAACACAUGCAAGUCGAACGCAUCGCAAGAUGAGUGGCAGACGGGUGAGUAACGCGUGGGAAUCUACCCAAUUCUUCGGAACAACUGAGGGAAACUUCAGCUAAUACCGGAUGUGCCCUUCGGGGGAAAGAUUUAUCGGAAUUGGAUGAGCCCGCGUUGGAUUAGCUAGUUGGUGGGGUAAAGGCCUACCAAGGCGACGAUCCAUAGCUGGUCUGAGAGGAUGAUCAGCCACACUGGGACUGAGACACGGCCCAGACUCCUACGGGAGGCAGCAGUGGGGAAUAUUGGACAAUGGGCGCAAGCCUGAUCCAGCCAUGCCGCGUGUGUGAUGAAGGUCUUAGGAUUGUAAAGCACUUUCACCGGAGAAGAUAAUGACGGUAUCCGGAGAAGAAGCCCGGCUAACUUCGUGCCAGCAGCCGC